AGUGAACGCUGGCGGUAGGCCUAACACAUGCAAGUCGAACGGCAGCACAGUAAGAGCUUGCUCUUACGGGUGGCGAGUGGCGGACGGGUGAGGAAUACAUCGGAAUCUACUUUUUCGUGGGGGAUAACGCAGGGAAACUUACGCUAAUACCGCAUACGACCUACGGGUGAAAGCAGGGGAUCUUCGGACCUUGCGCGAUUGAAUGAGCCGAUGUCGGAUUAGCUAGUUGGCGGGGUAAAGGCCCACCAAGGCGACGAUCCGUAGCUGGUCUGAGAGGAUGAUCAGCCACACUGGAACUGAGACACGGUCCAGACUCCUACGGGAGGCAGCAGUGGGGAAAAUUGGACAAUGGGCGCAAGCCUGAUCCAGCCAUACCGCGUGGGUGAAGAAGGCCUUCGGGUUGUAAAGCCCUUUUGUUGGGAAAGAAAAGCAGCAGGUUAAUACCCCGCUGUUCUGACGGUACCCAAAGAAUAAGCACCGGCUAACUUCGUG
This 492-nucleotide ribosomal RNA is filed under the name uncultured bacterium. RNAcentral's name for it is "partial 16S ribosomal RNA". It matches the Rfam family "Bacterial small subunit ribosomal RNA", at positions 29 to 507 of the family's 1533-position model. The record is from RNAcentral.